CAGUCGAACGAACUCUGGUAUUGAUUGGUGCUUGCAUCAUGAUUUACAUUUGAGUGAGUGGCGAACUGGUGAGUAACACGUGGGAAACCUGCCCAGAAGCGGGGGAUAACACCUGGAAACAGAUGCUAAUACCGCAUAACAACUUGGACCGCAUGGUCCGAGCUUGAAAGAUGGCUUCGGCUAUCACUUUUGGAUGGUCCCGCGGCGUAUUAGCUAGAUGGUGGGGUAACGGCUCACCAUGGCAAUGAUACGUAGCCGACCUGAGAGGGUAAUCGGCCACAUUGGGACUGAGACACGGCCCAAACUCCUACGGGAGGCAGCAGUAGGGAAUCUUCCACAAUGGACGAAAGUCUGAUGGAGCAACGCCGCGUGAGUGAAGAAGGGUUUCGGCUCGUAAAACUCUGUUGUUAAAGAAGAACAUAUCUGAGAGUAACUGUUCAGGUAUUGACGGUAUUUAACCAGAAAGCCACGGCUAACUACGUGCCAGCAGCCGCGGUAAUACGUAGGUGGCAAGCGUUGUCCGGAUUUAUUGGGCGUAAAGCGAGCGCAGGCGGUUUUUUAAGUCUGAUGUGAAAGCCUUCGGCUCAACCGAAGAAGUGCAUCGGAAACUGGGAAACUUGAGUGCAGAAGAGGACAGUGGAACUCCAUGUGUAGCGGUGAAAUGCGUAGAUAUAUGGAAGAACACCAGUGGCGAAGGCGGCUGUCUGGUCUGUAACUGACGCUGAGGCUCGAAAGUAUGGGUAGCAAACAGGAUUAGAUACCCUGGUAGUCCAUACCGUAAACGAUGAAUGCUAAGUGUUGGAGGGUUUCCGCCCCUUCAGUGCUGCAGCUAACGCAUUUAAGCAUUCCGCCUGGGGGAGUACGGCCCGCAAGGCUGGAAACUCAAAAGGAAUUGACGGGGGGCCCGCACAAAGCGGUGGGAGC
This 924-nucleotide ribosomal RNA is filed under the name Lactiplantibacillus plantarum. Its description in RNAcentral is "bacterial SSU rRNA". It matches the Rfam family "Bacterial small subunit ribosomal RNA", at positions 59 to 939 of the family's 1533-position model. Lineage: Bacteria; Bacillati; Bacillota; Bacilli; Lactobacillales; Lactobacillaceae. The record is from RNAcentral.